CACCCCUCAAGCCUUGCUUGGUGUUGGAGCACUACCGCUUUUUCAAAGUGGUAGGCUCUGAAAUUCAGUGGCGGGCUCGCUAAGACUCUGAGCGUAGUAGUUUAUCACCUCGCUUUGGAAGGAUUAGCGGUGCUCUUGCCGUAAAACCCCCAACUUCUGAA
RNAcentral lists this unclassified non-coding RNA (161 nucleotides) under uncultured Diaporthales. RNAcentral's name for it is "sequence contains ITS2". Lineage: Eukaryota; Fungi; Ascomycota; Sordariomycetes; Diaporthales. RNAcentral also lists the same sequence under 1 other name. The record is from RNAcentral.